UACGAACGCUGGCGGCGUGCUUAACACAUGCAAGUCGAACGGAAAGGCCCUUCGGGGUACUCGAGUGGCGAACGGGUGAGUAACACGUGGGUGAUCUGCCCUGCACUUUGGGAUAAGCCUGGGAAACUGGGUCUAAUACCGAAUAGGACCACGCGCUUCAUGGUGUGUGGUGGAAAGCUUUUGCGGUGUGGGAUGGGCCCGCGGCCUAUCAGCUUGUUGGUGGGGUAAUGGCCUACCAAGGCGACGACGGGUAGCCGGCCUGAGAGGGUGACCGGCCACACUGGGACUGAGAUACGGCCCAGACUCCUACGGGAGGCAGCAGUGGGGAAUAUUGCACAAUGGGCGCAAGCCUGAUGCAGCGACGCCGCGUGAGGGAUGACGGCCUUCGGGUUGUAAACCUCUUUCAAUAGGGACGAAGCGCAAGUGACGGUACCUAUAGAAGAAGCACCGGCCAACUACGUGC
This 463-nucleotide ribosomal RNA is filed under the name uncultured bacterium. RNAcentral describes it as "partial 16S ribosomal RNA". It matches the Rfam family "Bacterial small subunit ribosomal RNA", at positions 29 to 508 of the family's 1533-position model. The record is from RNAcentral.